This 1278-nucleotide long non-coding RNA is filed under the name Vulpes vulpes (red fox). Its description in RNAcentral is "lncRNA (ENSVVUG00000026250.1)". The record is from RNAcentral. Lineage: Eukaryota; Metazoa; Chordata; Mammalia; Carnivora; Canidae.
CACGAUCCUAAUACUGACCUAGUUAUCUGUGCGUUUAUUGUCUGUCUCCUUGAUUAGGAUAUAAACUUCUUGAGCACAGAGCUCUUGUCUUCCAUCUUUGCUCUAGUGCUCUAGUAUUUAUAGAAUGAAUUAGUGCUGGAGCACAGUACAUUUCACCGUCUCUGUGUGUCUGACUCUGGGGGAGGGACAGGAGGUGCAAAGCAAAGAGCUUUUGUUUUCAGUAGGCUGGCUCAUAGUGGGGGAGACAGAUGCUACCAUGGUGCAGAGUGAUAAAAUUCUGACUUAGAACAUAGGGUCUCUUAGGAAGACAGAGAGCUCACCCAGCCUGGAAGGAGGUGGGGGUCAGGGAAGUUCAACACUUGCAUUGAGUCCUGAAAGCCAGCAAAAGUUUGCCAGGCAAAGGAUGUUGGGGAAUGACCCUCUACGGAAGCACAGGUGCCAAAGCAAGGUGGGGAGAGAGUGGGAGAUGGAAGGAGCACAGAAGUAGCUGGAGCCUGGUGUGCAAGGAAAGCCCGCGGGAAGGGCUGACCCCAUGGCAGAGCGGCUGGCUGUCCCUGGCCGGGGGUGGCUUUACUUCCUCCAGCUCCAGGCCAACACUCAGACUUCAAGACGCUGCAGGGCCUCUGAAGAAAAGGAAGAAAGGCAGAAGAGAGGAAGCUGUGGCUGCAAGUCUUGGAAAUGCGGAACACAAGGGCAUAUUGAACAACCGGAGAUCAAAGAGGCCAGUGGAAAUGCAGCCAGCAUGAAAAGCCAGGCCAAUUCCCUUAGGAUGGGACAGCGAUGUUCUGCACCUGUUAUCUAGAAAAUCUUCUGAAAUGCACACAAUGAAAAUGUCCUAUGCUUUGGUUCAAGUCCUUUUACAAUAGCUAGAGAAUCUGGAAAGACUCAAACUCUCUUUCUCAUGUUACUUCAAAAUUCUAGCACAAAUGGUUGGCCAGUCAUAUCAUGCCAUACAAAAAGCACUGUCCCUAUAAUCAUAUUUUCUGAUGAGUCCUGGUACAUGCUCUCAGGAGCUCAUUUCACUUGGCAUCUACUCAUUCAUGUUUUUACUUCUGUCUUAUGUGGUACCAUUCACAUCAGGUGCAUCCUUCAUGUCAGAUACCUGCACCCCUAUGUUUGGCCCCCUCUAGAUCCAAGCCAUUUCACCUGGUGUCACGUAGAAACAAAUGAAUGGUAUGUAGCUAAUUGACCCCUGCAGGACAUUGAAUAUUUAGAAGACAACUCUCACUCCCUUCAAAGGAGCAACUUAAUAAAAUCUUAUUGUAGCAUUAGCUCUCA